AAAUUUGAAUAGCAACAAAACAAAAGUUGAGAGGAGGAGCAAGAGUGGAGAAGUAGAAGUACGUAGCUUUAAAUCACAGAGGACUGAGACUCAAGGAAAACUUGAAAAUCCAUCAUAUUCAAUUCAGGGAAGAGGGAAACAACUGGAUAAUCUCAAGAAAUGGCUUCAAACUUCAAUGACAUUGUCAAGCAGGGCUAUGUACGGAUGCGCAGUCGCAAACUUGGGAUUUAUCGGCGUUGUUGGUUAGUUUUCAAAAAGUCAUCCAGUAAAGGGCCUUGUCGACUUGAGAAGUACCCUGAUGAGAAGUCUGCCCACACCAGAUCCUGCUCUAAGGUGACAGAAAUCAGCAACGUUCAGACUGUCAGACGGCUGCCUCGGGAUACCAAGCGACAAGCGGUGGCCAUUGUAUUUACUGAUGACACCUCACGCACUUUCACUUGUGAUUCAGG
This is a long non-coding RNA of Syngnathus typhle (broad-nosed pipefish), 449 nucleotides long. RefSeq lists it as uncharacterized. The record is from RefSeq and is a predicted model, not a curated record. NCBI's taxonomy places the organism in Eukaryota, Metazoa, Chordata, Actinopteri, Syngnathiformes, Syngnathidae. The transcript has 3 exons.